AAUAUCUCAUUACCUGACGGUAUUUUAAAUGCAAAGUAUAACAAAUACAUGGUUAUUUUUAGGAUAAAACCAAUAUCUGUAUAUAAUAUUCUGCUUUUAUAAUAUUACUUUCUAACCUCUUGGAUCACAUCCCGUGCUAUGCAGAAAAAUUCAUUUCCAUCGGAAGAGACUUUGCUGAGCACAUGAGUCUGACGCUGCUUGCUACCUGACUGCUGGGCAAUUACAUCAAGAGGUGACCUUUAUGACCCAAAGAUUUAUCAAGUCAGCAAUCUGUUCCCUGGGGCCAGCAUCUUCAGCGUCUUCCUCUGCCAGUCACGUCUGUGGAAGACUUUGCCAAACCCCAUGAGAAAAUGGACUAAUCUACUUGUUUCAAAGAACAAGAAUGACAUCUUUACUGGCUGUACUUUGUCUAUAGAGGAAAGAAGCUAAUAAAGGAUGAAAUACUUUAUCCAAUUGUGAAAGAUCCAAUGCAAUGUUUUUAUAAUAAAGGACACAGAGAGUAGCAGUUAGUAAGCAGCUAGUCUGAGAAG
Long non-coding RNA from Lontra canadensis (Northern American river otter), 530 nucleotides. RefSeq lists it as uncharacterized. The transcript is spliced from 3 exons. Lineage: Eukaryota; Metazoa; Chordata; Mammalia; Carnivora; Mustelidae. The record is from RefSeq and is a predicted model, not a curated record.